UACAGAGGGUGCGAGCGUUAAUCGGAUUUACUGGGCGUAAAGGGCGCGUAGGCGGUUAUUUAAGAUAGAUGUGAAAUCCCUGGGCUUAACCUAGGAAUGUCAUCUAAGACUGGGUAACUGGAGUAUUGUAGAGGGUAGUGGAAUUUCCGGUGUAGCGGUGAAAUGCGUAGAGAUCGGAAGGAACACCAGUGGCGAAGGCGGCUACCUGGACAAAUACUGACGCUGAGGCGCGAGAGCGUGGGGAGCAAACAGG
This 253-nucleotide ribosomal RNA is filed under the name uncultured bacterium. Its description in RNAcentral is "partial 16S ribosomal RNA". It matches the Rfam family "Bacterial small subunit ribosomal RNA", at positions 524 to 776 of the family's 1533-position model. The record is from RNAcentral.